This 72-nucleotide small RNA is filed under the name Arabidopsis thaliana (thale cress). RNAcentral describes it as "ATSL114010". The record is from RNAcentral. Lineage: Eukaryota; Viridiplantae; Streptophyta; Magnoliopsida; Brassicales; Brassicaceae.
AAGAACUUAUUAGAGAAGAAGAACAACAACAAGGAAGAUAACGAAAGUCACUAAAAUCUUUCAAGACCCAUG